Molecule: ribosomal RNA, 733 nt
Filed under: uncultured Acidobacteriota bacterium
Lineage: Bacteria; Pseudomonadati; Acidobacteriota
Description: bacterial SSU rRNA
Rfam family: Bacterial small subunit ribosomal RNA
Source: RNAcentral
GUCGAACGAGAAAGUGGAGCAAUCCAUGAGUAAAGUGGCGCACGGGUGAGUAACACGUGACUAACCUACCCUUGAGUGGGGAAUAACCUAGGGAAACCUGGGCUAAUACCGCAUAACACCUACGGGUCAAAGGAGCAAUUCGCUUAAGGAGGGGGUCGCGGCAGAUUAGCUAGUUGGCGGGGUAAUGGCCCACCAAGGCAGUGAUCUGUAUCCGGCCUGAGAGGGCGCACGGACACACUGGAACUGAAACACGGUCCAGACUCCUACGGGAGGCAGCAGUGGGGAAUUUUGCGCAAUGGGGGAAACCCUGACGCAGCAACGCCGCGUGGAGGAUGAAGUCCCUUGGGACGUAAACUCCUUUCGACCGGGAAGAUUAUGACGGUACCGGAAGAAGAAGCCCCGGCUAACUUCGUGCCAGCAGCCGCGGUAAUACGAGGGGGGCAAGCGUUGUUCGGAAUUAUUGGGCGUAAAGGGUGCGUAGGCGGUUCGGUAAGUCUCGUGUGAAAUCUUCGGGCUCAACUCGAAGUCUGCACGAGAAACUGCCGGGCUUGAGUGUGGGAGAGGUGAGUGGAAUUUCCGGUGUAGCGGUGAAAUGCGUAGAUAUCGGAAGGAACACCUGUGGCGAAAGCGGCUCACUGGACCACAACUGACGCUGAGGCACGAAAGCUAGGGGAGCAAACAGGAUUAGAUACCCUGGUAGUCCUAGCCCUAAACGAUGAUCGCUUGGUGUGAC